GGGAAUCUUGGACAAUGGGGGCAACCCUGAUCCAGCGAUGCCGCGUGAGCGAAGAAGGCCUUAGGGCUGUAAAGCUCUUUCGCCCGCGACGAUGAUGACGGUAGCGGGAGAAGAAGCCCCGGCUAACUCCGUGCCAGCAGCCGCGGUAAUACGGAGGGGGCUAGCGUUGUCCGGAAUUACUGGGCGUAAAGCGCGCGUAGGCGGUCCACCAAGUCGGGGGUGAAAGCCCGGGGCUCAACCCCGGAAUGUCCUCCGAGACUGUUGGACUGGAGUUCGGGAGAGGAGAGCGGAAUUCCAAGUGUAGAGGUGAAAUUCGUAGAUAUUGGGAAGAACACCGGUGGCGAAGGCGGCUCUCUGGCCCGCAACUGACGCUGAGGCGCGAAAGCGUGGGGAGCAAACA
Molecule: ribosomal RNA, 400 nt
Filed under: uncultured bacterium
Lineage: Bacteria
Description: bacterial SSU rRNA
Rfam family: Bacterial small subunit ribosomal RNA
Source: RNAcentral